This 579-nucleotide long non-coding RNA is filed under the name Ananas comosus (pineapple). RNAcentral's name for it is "long non-coding RNA (ACOM_LNC017034)". The record is from RNAcentral. Lineage: Eukaryota; Viridiplantae; Streptophyta; Magnoliopsida; Poales; Bromeliaceae.
UUCCCAUUUUUAAACCUCUGCUUAAUUACAAUUGAUAAAACUUAAUAAAAUAAAUGAUAUAUCAAUUUUAAUUAAUUUAUAUUAUAUAAUAAAAUUAAAGUAUAAAUAUAUUAUCAUAAAAAUAAUAUUUAUAUUAAUAUAUUUAUUUAUAUAUCUAUUAAUCUAAUAAAAUAAAAAAAAGAAUAGAAUUGUUCUCAGUUUUUCUAUAAAUAAUUUUUAACGAGUUAUUUCAGAACAACACAGAACAGCCCGUUUAAAUCGGAACAAUCCAUUCCAUCUUGUUCGGCUACAAUUUGAGUAUAUUUUCUCUUAUUAUGAGAUACUAGUUACGGAACCCCGCGCGUUGCGGCGGAAAGUCGAUACAAUAGUCAAUUAUUAAAAUUAUUAAAACUAUUUUUAAUAUUAUUCAUUAAUAUUUUUAAAUAAUAUUUAUUUUCGUAGUGAGUAUAUUUAGAAACAGAGGUAAACGGAAUCUCACGUGUUGCAACAGGAAGUCGAUACAAUAGCCAAUUAUUAGAACUAUUAAUAUUAAUUUUAAUAUUACUUAUUCAUUAAUAAAUUUCCCCUUCUAUAGAUAAU